AGUCUUAUAUUCAAAUUAUGAUAUUAAAUUGCAAAUUUAAUGGUGAAUAUUAUUCUAAGACUU
This 63-nucleotide transfer RNA is filed under the name Balmes birmanus. Its description in RNAcentral is "tRNA-Cys". The record is from RNAcentral. Lineage: Eukaryota; Metazoa; Arthropoda; Insecta; Neuroptera; Psychopsidae.